GCCCGCUUGGCCAAGCGGUAAGGCGCAUCACUCGUACCACGUGACGCGGAAUGAUGAGAUCAGUUGUUCGAAUCAGCUAGUGGGCA
Non-coding RNA from Favolaschia claudopus, 86 nucleotides. The record is from the annotation of a GenBank genome assembly. Lineage: Eukaryota; Fungi; Basidiomycota; Agaricomycetes; Agaricales; Mycenaceae.